Molecule: ribosomal RNA, 440 nt
Filed under: uncultured bacterium
Lineage: Bacteria
Description: partial 16S ribosomal RNA
Rfam family: Bacterial small subunit ribosomal RNA
Source: RNAcentral
CCUACGGGCGGCAGCAGUGGGGAAUAUUGCACAAUGGGGGAAACCCUGAUGCAGCGACGCCGCGUGAGUGAUGAAGUACUUCGGUAUGUAAAGCUCUAUUAGCAGGGAAGAAAAUGACGGUACCUGAUUAAUAAGCCCCGGCUAACUACGUGCCAGCAGCCGCGGUAAUACGUAGGGGGCAAGCGUUAUCCGGAUUUACUGGGUGUAAAGGGGGCGUAGACGGCAGCACAAGUCUGGAGUGAAAUGCCGGGGCUUAACCCCGGAACUGCUGUGGAUACUGUGCAGCUAGAGUGCAUGAGAGGUAAGUGGAAUUCCUAGUGUAGCGGUGAAAUGCGUAGAUAUUAGGAGGAACACCAGUGGCGAAGGCGGCUUACUGGACUGUAACUGACGUUGAGGCUCGAAAGCGUGGGGAGCAAACAGGAUUAGAUACCCCUGUAGUC